This 433-nucleotide ribosomal RNA is filed under the name uncultured bacterium. RNAcentral describes it as "partial 16S ribosomal RNA". It matches the Rfam family "Bacterial small subunit ribosomal RNA", at positions 29 to 507 of the family's 1533-position model. The record is from RNAcentral.
AACGAACGCUGGCGGCAUGCCUAACACAUGCAAGUCGAACGAGACCUUCGGGUCUAGUGGCGCACGGGUGCGUCACGCGUGGGAACCUGCCCUUAGGCUCGGAAUAACACCCCGAAAGGGGUGCUAAUACCGGAUAAUGUCUUCGGACCAAAGAUUUAUCGCCCUUGGAUGGGCCCGCGUUGGUUUAGCUAGUUGGUAGGGUAAAAGCCUACCAAGGCGACGAUCCAUAGCUGGUCUGAGAGAAAGAGCAGCCACACUGGGACUGAGACGCAGCGCAGACUCCUACGGGAGGCAGCAGUGGGGAAUAUUGGACAAUGGGCGGAGGGCUGAACCAGCAAGGCCGCUUGAGUGAUGAAGUCGUGAGAGUAGUAAAGCACUUUUACCCGGGAUGAUAAUGACAGUACCGGGAGAAUAAGCUCCGGCUAACUCCGUG